CAUUGUUGUCAAUUAACUUUGGUCUAUAUAUACCGAGAUAAUAGUUUAAAAACUUUCAAAGCAUCAAAGUUGUAUUCGUUUGAGCAUAAGAAGUUUGAAAAAAUAGCCGUGUAGCUUGACAACUCAUACCUCAGAAACAGAAAGAUGUCCGCACUAUGGCUUGCAAUUUUCCUGAUAGCAGCAAUAUUUUGUUGUAUGAUUUUGCCGAUCGCCGGACAGUUCUUUUAUAAUCCUUUUAUGUAUCCGUAUUAUAGUUAUUACUCAUCACUCUACAGAAGAUUUCCCUACAUGUUUUAUGGAGCGGAUUAAAGUUCGGGAGUAUGUCAUUCAGAAAAUACAUCAACAAGUCGAGAAAUCAUAUAAAUCUCCGUCAUUGUAUAUUUUCAUGAAAUGUUUCCUACAAUAAAUUAUACAUGAACUUUUAUCGAAGAAUACAUUAUUUAUUUAUGUGAA
This is a long non-coding RNA of Mercenaria mercenaria, 453 nucleotides long. RefSeq lists it as uncharacterized. The transcript is spliced from 3 exons. NCBI's taxonomy places the organism in Eukaryota, Metazoa, Mollusca, Bivalvia, Venerida, Veneridae. The record is from RefSeq and is a predicted model, not a curated record.